RNAcentral lists this transfer RNA (72 nucleotides) under Pangasius djambal. RNAcentral describes it as "tRNA-Glu". It matches the Rfam family "tRNA". Rfam says of the family: Transfer RNA (tRNA) molecules are approximately 80 nucleotides in length. Lineage: Eukaryota; Metazoa; Chordata; Actinopteri; Siluriformes; Pangasiidae. The record is from RNAcentral.
GCCCUGGAGGACUAGUGGUUAGGCCACAGCACUCUCACUGCUGCGGCCUGGGUUCGAUUCCUGGCCAGGAAA